RNAcentral lists this transfer-messenger RNA (396 nucleotides) under Siansivirga zeaxanthinifaciens. RNAcentral describes it as "Standard tmRNA". It matches the Rfam family "transfer-messenger RNA". Rfam says of the family: Bacterial tmRNA, also known as 10Sa RNA or SsrA, is named for its dual tRNA and mRNA-like properties. Its role is to liberate the mRNA from a stalled ribosome. To accomplish this part of the tmRNA is used as a reading frame that ends in a translation stop signal. RNAcentral also lists the same sequence under 1 other name. Lineage: Bacteria; Pseudomonadati; Bacteroidota; Flavobacteriia; Flavobacteriales; Flavobacteriaceae. The record is from RNAcentral.
GGGGUCGACUGGUUUUGACAGCGAGAUUAAUUGAACGGUAAGCACGUCGUGUAAGGACUUUGAUACACGUAAAAGGCUAAGUCAAACUUUAAACGGCGAGAAUAACUACGCUUUAGCUGCUUAAUCUGAAUUUACAGUAAGAUAAGCCUCGGCACACAAGGUGUGCGAGCUAAAUGUCUCCAGAAAGCCUUGGUUAACGGCGUUCUUUUUUGAGGCAUCGUAAAUGUUAACAUAGAUGGAGUAGCGCUUUGAUGCUCUUUCGAAACUUAAAAAGAUAAGUUAUAAAUAGGUUGUCUUUAACCAGUUUAUAAUCGAAAACACAAGAAAAGAAUAAACGUGUAGAAAGCCCUUUGGUUACUUGUUUGGACGAGAGUUCGAUUCUCUCCGACUCCACAA